RNAcentral lists this ribosomal RNA (252 nucleotides) under uncultured bacterium. Its description in RNAcentral is "partial 16S ribosomal RNA". It matches the Rfam family "Bacterial small subunit ribosomal RNA", at positions 524 to 776 of the family's 1533-position model. The record is from RNAcentral.
UACGGGGGGGCAAGCGUUGUCCGGAAUCAUUGGGUGUAAAGGGCGCGUAGGCGGGAUGGUAAGUCAGAGGUGAAAAUUCCAUGCUUAACGUGGAACCUGCCUUUGAUACUGCUGUCCUUGAGUGCGGAAGAGGGAAGUGGAAUUCCCGGUGUAGCGGUGAAAUGCGUAGAUAUCGGGAAGAACACCGGUAGCGAAGGCGGCUUCCUGGUCCGUAACUGACGCUGAGGCGCGAAAGAGUGGGGAGCAAACAGG